GAUGAACGCUGGCGGCGUGCCUAAUACAUGCAAGUCGAACGAAACUUCUUUAUCACCGAGUGCUUGCACUCACCGAUAAAGAGUUGAGUGGCGAACGGGUGAGUAACACGUGGGCAACCUGCCCAAAAGAGGGGGAUAACACUUGGAAACAGGUGCUAAUACCGCAUAACCAUAGUUACCGCAUGGUAACUAUGUAAAAGGUGGCUAUACUACCGCUUUUGGAUGGGCCCGCGGCGCAUUAGCUAGUUGGUAGGGUAAAGGCUUACCAAGGCAAUGAUGCGUAGCCGAAUUGAGAGGUUGAUCGGCCACAUUGGGACUGAGACACGGCCCAAACUCCUACGGGAGGCAGCAGUAGGGAAUCUUCCACAAUGGGCGAAAGCCUGAUGGAGCAACGCCGCGUGGGUGAAGAAGGUCUUCGGAUCGUAAAACCCUGUUGUUAGGGAAGAAAGUGCGUGGGAGUAACUGUUCACGUUUCGACGGUAUCUAACCAGAAAGCCACGGCUAACUACGUG
RNAcentral lists this ribosomal RNA (512 nucleotides) under uncultured bacterium. Its description in RNAcentral is "partial 16S ribosomal RNA". It matches the Rfam family "Bacterial small subunit ribosomal RNA", at positions 28 to 507 of the family's 1533-position model. The record is from RNAcentral.